UGUCUUUUUCCCCAUGUGGAACUGAACCCAAGAAGGACAUUUCUUCCAACAAAGCAAAGUAAGCAAAACAAAACCCCACAGAAUUCUAGCUAAGGUACAAUACUCAUUUGCUACAGCUUGUUGUUUAGUUCUAAUGUUGGUGGAUUAGGUUUGUGCUUAUUUUCCUGGAGGGAAAAAAUAAGCCGCAAAAGUGAAGUCACAUUAAAAAAAAAAAAAAAAAAACCAAAACCUUUAAACCUGCCCUGAGUCUGAAGGAAUAAAGGACAUUUUCAUAAGGCUAAUUAAUGUUAUUUGAUUUUUGGCACUCCAUAUUUUGUGUCAAGCACCUAAUCUGGAGAGACAGCUCCCAAGAUUAAAGUAGGAGUAACAAAUAACUUCCCCACCCUGCUAAUUAGGGUACUGGAGAAUCCAAACAAGUGUGAGGUGAGUUAUUAGGGAAUGGACAAGCACUGUCUUCUAUCCAUUCUCUCCACCACAAAUGAAUUAAAAAUGAAUAAAACGUGGGGCUUUCAUAACUCUCAAAACCCAGUGGUUGAAUUAGCUCAUCUAAUAGCAGGGCCAAUCUUGGCAGAGCAAGACCAAAAUGCUUAUUCUUCCUCCCCCUUCUCCACCCCCAAACCUCCAACAUCCACCCAAAGUUUUCAGACUUCAUAAACAGGAGCAACUUUUUUUUCCUGUCCAGUACCUUGUCUGACAAUUAAGGAAGUAGUUAGGCAUGCCAAUGGCAUAAAACAUUUCACUUUGUUUUGCCUUUUAAAAGAAAGUAAUUGUUUGCUGUAUGUUGGUUAACAUUGCUACCUAUAAAAAAAAUGAAACCACAACAAGCAGUGUUUGGAAUAACACACCCCCAGCCUUGCUCUCAUCAUGAGGCAAAUAGGCACUUGCACAUAACGCUCCUAAGCCAUUCCCUUCCGCCUCUUUGAUGGGGCCAGGAUAAACCCUCAGGGCAGGUGGGGAUUUGAAUCAAGUUGAGCUUUGAACUUGCUGGAUGUCCUUUUUGUGUCAAGGGAGCUGUCUUUGAAAUUAUCAGAGCUUAAAACUAUUUCCCCAUCUCCGCGGAAACCUGAAAAAGCGCUUAAUGCUGUAAUUACUCCCCAUUUGACAGAAUAGACUGGAGAUGUGACAAUAUUAGUGCCACGCUGGAAAUUUCGGCUCUAUGUUUCCUAACCAUUCUCAGUGUGACAGGAAAGAAAUGGCUUGCAAAAACAUGAUUCAAAGAAGAAGAAAAUGCGGAGUGAAAAAUACCAAGUUCUGUGGUUGUGGAUGAUCAUUCUACCAUCAUUUCAUCAGCUUCCAUGCCGGAAACGGUCACUACCUAUUCUUCAGUGGGGGAAAAAAAACAGUCCAGUUGCCUUUUGAAGAAAAAAGCACCUUUGAGACAACUAUCACCUGGAUGACUGAGAACCUCCACAGACAUCCCCCAAGGAAGACUGGCAGAAGAACUCCCUACCCUCUGUGGGGCUUUUUCGAAUCAUGAAGCAUAGAAAGCUGGAGAGGUUGCAGAAGGAUAGAGGGGCACACUCUGUGGUCAUAUGCACAUGCUCACAUUACUACUGAACUGGUAGCAAAGGUACAAUAUGAAUGCUGCUUGCUAUUCUUAAAAGUCCUAAAUGGCUUGGGUCCAAACAUCUACAAGAGCCCUUUCUCCUGCAAGAGACUUACCCACCCACGAAGAUCCACCCAGGGAAGCUCACCUUCCAGUCAGUCCUGACUGGAGGGAUAUAUGGGGUCAGGCCUUCCCUUUGAUUAUGCUGCAUCUGUGAAAUCCAUUCCCCAGUAAAUAUGUGCCCUUGAAGAUGGCUUUAUCAAUUGACCUACAUUCUUUAAUUGUUCUGGUUUUUUUUUAAACACUCUGACCAAAACAACAAUAUUUGUUUAUUUAUUCAUUCAUUCAUUCAAUUUCUAUUGCUGCCCAUCUCAGUCAAUGACUCCGGGCAGCUUACAAAUCCAAAGGUAUAAAAACAAUUGAACAAUAACAAACAUUCUAGACAACAAAAUAAAUAA
This is a long non-coding RNA of Thamnophis elegans (Western terrestrial garter snake), 2004 nucleotides long. RefSeq lists it as uncharacterized. NCBI's taxonomy places the organism in Eukaryota, Metazoa, Chordata, Lepidosauria, Squamata, Natricidae. The transcript has 4 exons. The record is from RefSeq and is a predicted model, not a curated record.